AUAUACUCAUUAUUCAAGGGUACUAUGGUCAUUAUACAGAACUGAUUUUUUUAAGCAAACCACAUGUGCCUCUUCCAUAUUCUUCCAGAACGUUCUUCCUCUUUCCUCAUUUUUGCAUAUUAUUAAGAGAUUAGGAAUUAAGCAAAUGAAAAUUGGUAGGAUCUUCUCAAAUCCGUUCUUCUUCUUUUUACUCAAACCGGAAAAAGUAGACACAAGUCUCUGCUAUUUUCAUCUUUUCAGCAGGCUAUCGCCAUUUUUAGGAGGUCGAUGCUUCCUCUGAGUAAGCGGCUCGUAUUGUUAUUCUUCAUUCUAGAAUUAACUGGACAAGUAUUUUUUGGUUGCCAACUCUUUGUUGUUGGUCUUGACUGCACAAAUUCGACUUAUGUUGCUGCUUUUCAACUUGGAGCAAUAUCAGUCUUUAUGUUCAUACUUGCUUUAUUCAUGGGUUGCAACUACUAUUUGGUCUGUGUUAGCUUUUUGGAUGGUUCCGAUGCAAUCACUUGAUCAAGAUGGCUAGAAGCUUAUGGGAAGACACACAAGUCCGCUUCCUAAGUCAUUUUUCUUUGACAACAACAUUUCAGGUAAUGCAGAAAACGUAAAGUUGCAAGCUCAUACAAGUUGUUAUGAAAAGAUAUAUUCGAUUUAGUCAAGACGACUGAUUGAUAGAGGUGGUCAUUUGGUCUGCAAUGUAGCCAACAAAGCUAGAAAAUUGGAAAGAGCAGCAAAACUAUUGCGAAAUCAAUCCCCAAUUAUAUUUUAGAAAAUAUCUAGAAGAACAACUAUUCCUCAUAAUGAAUGAAGAGUUGUCCUUAUCUUUUGUAUAGUUCUUGCCUUCAAGAUUUGUAUUUUUGAUGUAAUGAUCAGGCUUUAGAUAAAUUAGAUCAAUCAAUGGUGAAAUUUAUGGAUUCCUUGCGCUUUUAAGAACCAGAUUUUUGUUUAUCAU
This is a long non-coding RNA of Solanum tuberosum (potato), 943 nucleotides long. RefSeq lists it as uncharacterized. The record is from RefSeq and is a predicted model, not a curated record. The transcript is spliced from 5 exons. NCBI's taxonomy places the organism in Eukaryota, Viridiplantae, Streptophyta, Magnoliopsida, Solanales, Solanaceae.